ACGGGGAGCAGCAGGCGCGAAACCUUUACACUGCACGACAGUGCGAUAAGGGGACUCCGAGUGCGAGGGCAUAUAGCCCUCGCUUUUCUGAACCGUAGGGUGGUUCAGGAACAAGGACUGGGCAAGACCGGUGCCAGCCGCCGCGGUAAUACCGGCAGUCCGAGUGAUGGCCGAUAUUAUUGGGCCUAAAGCGUCCGUAGCCGGCCGGACAAGUCCGUUGGGAAAUCGACGCGCUCAACGCGUCGGCGUCCAGCGGAAACUGUCCGGCUUGGGGCCGGAAGACCUGAGGGGUACGUCCGGGGUAGGAGUGAAAUCCCGUAAUCCUGGACGGACCACCGGUGGCGAAAGCGCCUCAGGAAGACGGACCCGACGGUGAGGGACGAAAGCUAGGGUCUCGAACCGGAUUAGAUACCCGGGUAGUCCUAGCCGUAAACAAUGCUCACUAGGUGUGACACAGGCUACGAGCCUGUGUUGUGCCCUAGGGAAGCCGAGAAGUGAGCCGCCUGGGAAGUACGUCCGCAAGGAUGAAACUCAAAUGAAUUGACGG
RNAcentral lists this ribosomal RNA (547 nucleotides) under uncultured archaeon. Its description in RNAcentral is "bacterial SSU rRNA". It matches the Rfam family "Archaeal small subunit ribosomal RNA", at positions 325 to 871 of the family's 1478-position model. The record is from RNAcentral.